This 19-nucleotide microRNA is filed under the name Pongo pygmaeus (Bornean orangutan). RNAcentral's name for it is "ppy-miR-1290". Lineage: Eukaryota; Metazoa; Chordata; Mammalia; Primates; Hominidae. The record is from miRBase by way of RNAcentral.
UGGAUUUUUGGAUCAGAGA